Molecule: ribosomal RNA, 701 nt
Filed under: uncultured bacterium
Lineage: Bacteria
Description: bacterial SSU rRNA
Rfam family: Bacterial small subunit ribosomal RNA
Source: RNAcentral
CGGGAUUAGAUACCCCGGUAGUCCACGCCGUAAACGAUGGAUACUCGGCGUUGCGCGUUCGACAGCGCGCAGUGCUCAAGCUAACGCAUUAAGUAUCCCGCCUGUGGAGUACGAGCGCAAGCUUAAAACACAAAGGAAUAGACGGGGGCCCACACAAGCGGUGGAUCACGUUGUUUAAUUUGCAGCCAAGCGGAGAACCUAACCAGGCCUUGCAUCCCGAAAGCGUCUCAGAAAUGAGAAAGUGCUCGCAAGAGAAUUCGGUGACAGGUGCUGCAUGGUCGUCGUCAGCUCGUGUUGUGAAACGUAGCCUUAAGUGGUUUAACGAGCGCAACCCUCAUCGUAUGUUGUAGUUUUCAUACGAGACUGCCAGGGUAACCUGGAGGAAGGAGAGGAUGACGUCAGAUCAGCAUGGCCCUUAUGGCCUGGGCGACAGACGUGAUACAAUGGCUGGUACAACGGGUAGCGACAGCGCGAGCUUGAGCCAAUCCUUAUAAAGCCAGUCCCAGUCCGGAUUGGAGUCUGCAACUCGACUCCAUGAAGUCGGAAUCGCUAGUAAUCGCGGGUCAGCCACACCGCGGUGAAUAUGUUCCUGGGCCUUGUACUCACCGCCCGUCAAACCACGGAAGUCGGAAACGCCCGAAGCGCGCAUUCUUUGCGCACCACGGCGGAAUCGGUGACUGGGGUUAAGUCGUAACAAGGUA